UCCCAGCCAGCCACAACGCGCAGUUGUUCUGGGUUCAGUGCUCCAGUGCUCAGGCAUGGCUGCCCAAUCACCAUUCGGGUGGUCGUGGAACUCAUCAAUUUGCGCCACCACCGCCAUCAAAUGCUCUUCUUCUUCUAACUUCUCAACUUUCUCUUCCUUCCACACAAAUCCCCGGAAACGAUCCCGUUUAACCGCUUCUUCUCCUCCUCCUCCUCCUCCUCCUCCUUCUUCUCCUAGUAGUAGCUCUAAACCUAAUGCCAAACAGGGACUUUGAAAGCCAGUGAAAUUGGAUCGUCCGAAUCCGAAUCGGAAUCCGAACCCAACCACAUUGGUUAAAAAUUCUAGUGGAAAUCGAUCGCAAGACGAAAGGAGAGUAACGACCCUAAGCUUCAAGUCCUUGUUCGGCAAACGAUCUCUAUGGCGAAGGAUCUUUUUCGCUUCCAAGAAAGUUAGGAGCAUCAUCUUGCUCAACGUCAUCACCGUCGCUCAUGUAGCCAGUAAUUUCUCGAUUGUAAAAGAGGUGGAAGCCGUCAUGGACCCGGCAGCCUUCACUAUUGUGCGGUUUGCUGUGUCAGCCAUUCCGUUCAUCCCUUUUGUGUUCCAAGCUCGAGGUGAUGCUCAGACAUGUAAAGCAGGGAUUGAGUUGGGUCCCUGGGUCAGUCUAGGGUAUCUCAUGCAGGCACUGGGAUUGCAAACUUCAGAUGCUGGUCGUGCAUCGUUUCAGUCCAUGUUCACUGUAGUUAUAGUUCCCUUGCUUGAUGGUAUGUCAUGAGCAAUAGUUCCUGCUCGUACCUGGUUUGUUAUGAGUUCUAAGGUUCUAAGAUUCCAUUCAGGUAUGUGUUGUUACUGUCAUGUCAACAAUAUGGUACUGUGUUGGAGUAGGGUCGGGUGGCCUCCAAGAUUUUAACCCAUCGUUAUGGACGUGCGGUAUGUUCUGGGAAUGGAUGGUUGUGUUCCCAUGGAUACCUGCACUGUACUCGGGCAUAUUUUCGACUGGUCUAUGCUUAUGGGUAGAGGUAUGUGUAAAUGCUGAUCUGAGAGUGGGUAAGGCUAGCCGACAUUCACCUCUCCCAGACCCUGCGUAAAGCGGGAGCCUUGUGCACUGGAUGGCCGCAAUGCGUGAUGUAUCAGCAACAGAAACAGCAAUAAUUUAUAGUUUGGAGCCGGUCUGGGGUGCUGCUUUUGCAUGGUUUCUCCUUGGGGAAAGGUGGGGUGCUACUGGUUGGGUUGGCGCUGCUCUGGUGCUAGGUAAAGUACUCUUUACCUCUGGUUAGAGGGAAUAAAAAAAAACCUCUACCUCACAAUUUUUAUUUAUCAUUACCUAGUAUUAGUAAACUACCAAGUAGACCAUCAAUAAGCGCAAUGCUUUGAAUUUAACAAACUUUCAGCAGCAAAGAUUUAUCCAGUUUCAUGCUAGAUGUUCGAACCACCUUUUACCGUAGAAAAAACAGUGGUUAUAUAGGAUUGAGCGUACUGUCAACUAGACGUUAUAUUGGGUAGAAGUUUACCGAACUUCAGUACCAAUAUUCAAACUCAAACUGUGACAUACUUCAUAGUUCUUUAUAAAUUCCCAUGGGGAUCAUGGGCGGCAUCCUUGUGGAACCUGAUUAUUCCCUUGUGUCUUAGACUUUAAGUUUUCAACCCUUUGGACAAAACUUUGAGCUUCUUACUACUUACGGUAAUUUUAAAGGAAAACUAAUGAAAGGGGCUUGAAAACUUUGAGUUUUAAUGAUAAGGACAAAAUAAAGGGUAAAGUGAAUAGUAUCAGGAUUGACUUUUUAGUGAAAAAAUGUGGUUUUUCGUUAAAGUGAACAGUACCGGGUGCUUUUCAUUAAAGUUCCCUAAUUUUAAUCCAAUCCGAGGUACAACGUAUGCGCGACUAAGCCAGCUCAUUUGGUUAUAUCAUGAAGGACCAAUGCAUUAUCCUUUCCCCUGCACUUCAGCAUAUCCCCAAGCGUCUUGUAGGUUGAUGUAUACUUGUUUGUUUUUGGUAUGCAUUAUUCAUGUUUACUUCUUGUUUCUCUCUGCGGGUGGAAGCCUAACAGUGCAGAUAUUUGGAUCAGCAUCUCCUUCAAAGUCUUACAAAGAUGAAAACAAUAGUAAGAAACUCGAUUACCCGGUGGUUUCAGAUGAACAUAAUCGCCUUUCUGCCUCUCCGGUUACAGUUAGUUCCAGAAAAGAUAGAUCUGCUAAAUAAGUGAUCAAUACCUCAUGUUUACAAAGAUGAUUCUGUAUAUAAUUUAAUGUAUAAAUCUUAACUGGAUCUCAAUUAUGCAUGGCUGAUGUGCACAGUUACUGAUUACAUCAUACAAAUAGGAUUUCGAAUCUCAAAAGUAUGAUAUACCAUCUAGAUAUUGGAUUGUGUUUUUGCUUCU
Malus domestica (apple) is the source of this 2375-nucleotide non-coding RNA. The record is from RefSeq and is a predicted model, not a curated record. NCBI's taxonomy places the organism in Eukaryota, Viridiplantae, Streptophyta, Magnoliopsida, Rosales, Rosaceae.